Molecule: ribosomal RNA, 132 nt
Filed under: Nannospalax galili (Upper Galilee mountains blind mole rat)
Lineage: Eukaryota; Metazoa; Chordata; Mammalia; Rodentia; Spalacidae
Source: RNAcentral
CCCUAUGGCCAUGCUCUCCUGGAUUGCUGGAUCUCAUCUAAUCCCAGACACUAAGCAGGGCCAGGCCUGGUUAGUACUGGGAUAGGAGGUUCAACUUCCUUAUUGGUACAUGUAUUUUAUUUGCUAUGGGCA